CCUACGGGAGGCAGCAGUGGGGAAUAUUGCACAAUGGGGGAAACCCUGAUGCAGCGACGCCGCGUGAGUGAUGAAGUAUUUCGGUAUGUAAAGCUCUAUCAGCAGGGAAGAAAAUGACGGUACCUGACUAAGAAGCCCCGGCUAACUACGUGCCAGCAGCCGCGGUAAUACGUAGGGGGCAAGCGUUAUCCGGAUUUACUGGGUGUAAAGGGAGCGUAGACGGCAGCACAAGCCUGGAGUGAAAUGCCGGGGCUUAACCCCGGGACUGCUUUGGAAACUGUGCAGCUAGAGUGCAGGAGAGGUAAGUGGAAUGCCUAGUGUAGCGGUGAAAUGCGUAGAUAUUAGGAGGAACACCAGUGGCGAAGGCGGCUUACUGGACUGUAACUGACGUUGAGGCUCGAAAGCGUGGGGAGCAAACAGGAUUAGAUACCCUAGUAGUC
This 440-nucleotide ribosomal RNA is filed under the name uncultured bacterium. RNAcentral's name for it is "partial 16S ribosomal RNA". It matches the Rfam family "Bacterial small subunit ribosomal RNA", at positions 338 to 795 of the family's 1533-position model. The record is from RNAcentral.